GUUCUCACUUCAGCAGCACAUAUACUAAACUUGGAACAAUGCAGAGAAGGUUAGCAUGGCCCUUGUGCAAGAUGACCUGAAAUUCAUGAAGUGUUCCAUAUUUUU
This is a small nuclear RNA of Vulpes vulpes (red fox), 105 nucleotides long. Lineage: Eukaryota; Metazoa; Chordata; Mammalia; Carnivora; Canidae. The record is from Ensembl.